UACGUAGGGUCCGAGCGUUGUCCGGAAUUACUGGGCGUAAAGAGCUCGUAGGUGGUUUGUCACGUUGUUCGUGAAAACCCACAGCUCAACUGUGGGCGUGCGAGCGAUACGGGCAGACUAGAGUACUGCAGGGGAGACUGGAAUUCCUGGUGUAGCGGUGGAAUGCGCAGAUAUCAGGAGGAACACCGGUGGCGAGGGCGGGUCUCUGGGCAGUAACUGACGCUGAGGAGCGAAAGCGUGGGGAGCGAACAGG
This 253-nucleotide ribosomal RNA is filed under the name uncultured bacterium. RNAcentral's name for it is "partial 16S ribosomal RNA". It matches the Rfam family "Bacterial small subunit ribosomal RNA", at positions 524 to 776 of the family's 1533-position model. The record is from RNAcentral.